This 425-nucleotide ribosomal RNA is filed under the name uncultured bacterium. RNAcentral describes it as "partial 16S ribosomal RNA". It matches the Rfam family "Bacterial small subunit ribosomal RNA", at positions 354 to 796 of the family's 1533-position model. The record is from RNAcentral.
GUGGGGAAUCUUGCGCAAUGGGCGAAAGCCUGACGCAGCCAUGCCGCGUGAAUGAUGAAGGUCUUAGGAUUGUAAAAUUCUUUCACCGGGGACGAUAAUGACGGUACCCGGAGAAGAAGCCCCGGCUAACUUCGUGCCAGCAGCCGCGGUAAUACGAUGGGGGCUAGCGUUGCUCGGAAUUACUGGGCGUAAAGGGCGCGUAGGCGGACAGUUUAGUCAGAGGUGAAAGCCCAGGGCUCAACCUUGGAAUUGCCUUUGAUACUGGCUGUCUUGAGUACGGGAGAGGUGAGUGGAACUCCGAGUGUAGAGGUGAAAUUCGUAGAUAUUCGGAAGAACACCAGUGGCGAAGGCGACUCACUGGCCCGUUACUGACGCUGAGGCGCGAAAGCGUGGGGAGCAAACAGGAUUAGAAACCCUUGUAGUCC